UACAGAGGUCUCAAGCGUUGUUCGGAUUCAUUGGGCGUAAAGGGUGUGUAGGUGGCGCGCUAAGUCGGGUGUGAAAUUUCGGAGCUUAACUCCGAAACUGCAUUCGAUACUGCGGUGCUUGAGGACUGGAGAGGAGACUGGAAUUCCUGGUGUAGCGGUGAAAUGCGCAGAUAUCAGGAGGAACACCGAUGGCGAAGGCAGGUCUCUGGGCCAUAACUGACGCUGAGAAGCGAAAGCAUGGGGAGCGAAAAGG
RNAcentral lists this ribosomal RNA (253 nucleotides) under uncultured bacterium. Its description in RNAcentral is "partial 16S ribosomal RNA". It matches the Rfam family "Bacterial small subunit ribosomal RNA", at positions 524 to 776 of the family's 1533-position model. The record is from RNAcentral.